GCCUCCCAAGUGCUGGGAUUAAAGGCUUGCGCCACCACCGCCCGGCCAGGUGCUGGUUUUUAAGGCAAACUACCUGUUUCAGUGUGUUCAAAGGCACCCCAGGCCUGGGUGAUGAGAGUGGGGAGCAGGAAGGGAGAGCUGUCCCUUUGGGCUCUAAAAAUGGACUCAGUAAAGUCUCACUCUAAACCACACAGCACUGCCCAUGUAAUACCUACAGGGGAUGGGACCCCCCAUCAACAGAGGGCAGGACCCCUGUCAUCCAGGAGACUUCCUGGAUGUGUGGCUGGGACUGAGAACUGCUGGCUUAGGACCAAAUGUGGAUACACACACACACACACACACACACACACACACACACACUCUCUCUCUUCUCAGGGCUGCGCUACGCUCGGCUGAGAGCAAUGAGACCCUAGGAGGGUAUCAUUCAGAGCUGGGACACUCGCCACCUCCCCCUUGGGUAACCUCUGUAUCCUCUGUGGAAAAUGUGCCUGGCCCGGGGCUACCAACCCUGUUUAUGAGUUACAGAGGAGUGUGAGAGUCCCAACUGGGCGAGCGCGAAACUCUCUAAGAGGGGGUUUCUCAUCUGCUAGGGAGGAAGGCGGACAUUAGGGGAGAAUGGCAAGAUGCCAUGGGCAGACUGGCUUAGUGGAGGAUCCAUGAACAGCCGCCUCCUGGGAUGGGGAGGAGGGUGGAGGGUGGAGGGCGUGGUCAUAGGCAGCUAGGAAGAAGGGUGUGGCAGUGAGCCUGCACAGACCAAUGUUCCCUGUUACAAGACAGGAGUAAGUAGAAACUUCUGCCUGCCAGCUAUGUGUGUCUGGGCUUGAAAUGGUGAUGUCACGUGCAAAAGCAUUAACAUUGUCCCCACUGAGAAUUUCAACCCUGUGUACAAAGGCUGGAGACCUGGGUGCCUCACAGACGCAAGCCCUAACACAGAAGUCAAGACGACAGGCUGGGAAGAUGGUUCGGCAGUCCAGGACAAGAUGAUCACAGUGGCUGGGCUGCAUGGAGCUGGUCCAUCCACUCCCCGCUCAACUCAGAGAGACGCGAUCUCACGGCCACUGGUGUCCCAGCUUUGCAAGAGCGAGCUCUCCGAGAAGGGAGGAAUGGACCACGGGCACCUCCUGUCACAGGCCCAGCAUCUUCAGCCACAGGAGCCAGCAGAAUUCCACAGGGAGAAGAGCAUUUCAGAUAAGGAGUGAGAACUCGGGCCUGUGACCUUUUCAUGACCCUAUCUGUAUAACUGCAAGCCUGAGAAGAACACCCAAGUCAAGAAUGGAAACAGGUGGGCCUCUCCACCUGUGAAAAGGGGAACUAGAAGUUUUGUUCCCAGUUUCUUUCCCACCAGAGGUGGGAAGGGAAACUGUCUUCCAGCCUGAGCUGGUAGUAAUCUAGAAGCAUCUAGAAAGUUCCAGAGCUGCAGUCACACCAGAGAAUUCCUCCAGGCUUUCCAGAAUCCGGUCACCUUCCUGGCUGUGUGUUUGGUGACUAAUGGACGGACACCAGCUUGUCAUCUCUCUGAGCCAGAGGUCAGAAGCUGAACUAGGUCAGGGUGUCCACAGGUUCCUAACUGCAGGUUCUGGGUUGAAUCUGUUUUCUAGCACUUUCUACCUGUCCUUCCUGAUUCUUGGUCCUUCCUUUUCCUUUGGCCUGGCCUUUCUCACACUGCAAAGCUGGGACACCUCUCCAGCCCCAUUGUGAAGGACCCUCGAGUAGCAUUGGGCCGGGGGGGAUGGAUCUCCCAGGGUCCUCUUCUUAGGGCUGCCUUCUACACAACAGCAUCCCCCCUGGAGUAGUACGGUUUAGUCUCACUCCCCAGACUCUGGAGCAAGGCCAUGGGUGACUCUGAUUCCAAAAGAUAUGUCAGGGUUGGACCACAGACCUGAGUUUGCCUGCCUGGGCUCCAAUCCCUGUGAUCUCUAAGAUGAGGUGUGGUGUCUCACACCCUCAUGCUGCCUCGUGGGGGGUGUGCAUGGCAUCUGGAGCCAGUCCAGAUCUGUGACCAUCUCUAUCUGUCCUUUGUCUCAGAGUGGCUCUCAAACCUCACCAUCUCUCUUGGACACCUGGUAAGGCACCCAUAUGUAUGCAGGGCGUAUCCCAUGAACACCUGAGCACCCUACUGGUGGGCAGUUACAGCCCUGCUCUCCAUACAGUGAGCAGAUGCUGUGGGCUCCCCAGCCAGGAGGUCCUGGGAUAGGACAGGCAGUAUAAAAAGCCACACGGUUGAAGAGACAUUGGAAGGAGAGGGAGCCCUCCCUCUGGAGUCUGAAGUCUCCGGUCCAAAAUUUCUGGGAAAUUAACACCAUUGCAUUGACGGUUUUAACAAGGAAACCACAUUCCUUUUAUAGAGAGAUAUUUUUGAAUAAGAAUGCAGAAUUAGCAAUGAGCCGAGCUUCGGGCCUGAGCGUGUACACCCUUUGAGUAUGGCUAGACUCUGUUCCCAGAAGUGAACCCCACAUUUCUGGGAAUCUCACAAACAAGACUAUGAACUUCACUUUCAAUAAAAACGAUCUUAACCCCUGA
Long non-coding RNA from Mus musculus (house mouse), 2520 nucleotides. RefSeq annotates it as predicted gene, 34065. The transcript has 3 exons. The record is from RefSeq and is a predicted model, not a curated record. Lineage: Eukaryota; Metazoa; Chordata; Mammalia; Rodentia; Muridae.